GAUCAUGGCUCAGGACGAACGCUGGCGGCGUGCUUAACACAUGCAAGUCGAACGAAGAGCGAUGGAAGCUUGCUUCUAUCAAUCUUAGUGGCGAACGGGUGAGUAACGCGUAAUCAACCUGCCCUUCAGAGGGGGGACAACAGUUGGAAACGACUGCUAAUACCGCAUACGAUCUAAUCUCGGCAUCGAGGAUGGAUGAAAGGUGGCCUCUAUUUAUAAGCUAUCACUGAAGGG
RNAcentral lists this ribosomal RNA (234 nucleotides) under uncultured bacterium. Its description in RNAcentral is "partial 16S ribosomal RNA". It matches the Rfam family "Bacterial small subunit ribosomal RNA", at positions 15 to 225 of the family's 1533-position model. The record is from RNAcentral.